This is a long non-coding RNA of Poecile atricapillus (Black-capped chickadee), 395 nucleotides long. RefSeq lists it as uncharacterized. The transcript is spliced from 3 exons. NCBI's taxonomy places the organism in Eukaryota, Metazoa, Chordata, Aves, Passeriformes, Paridae. The record is from RefSeq and is a predicted model, not a curated record.
GGCGGGGCGCGGCGCAGCGGGCGGGCCAGCCCGGCGCUGGCCAAGGGGGCACGGCCGCCCCCGCCGCCUCGGCCCGCGGCUCCCGCCGGGGUCGGCAGCGAACAGUUACUUUUAUGCAGUUGAAGUAAUCUACCUCUCACCAUCCCACCCAGCCUUCUGUGCUUCUGCCGAGGCGGCUGAGCGCCAGGAGCUGCUUAGAAGAUAUGAAUGAAAGUCUGGUGUUGUCAUUACGGCUUGUAGCUGAUGGAGCAUAUCGUAUACAAGAUAAGAUAUACAGCCAUUGCUACUCACAGGAUGCAAAUUUGUCCAAUGCACUGGCCAGCCCCUGUAAUUGAACCUACUCCUCACCCUCUCAGCCUGGGAAACCUGUGUUUUGCGCUUCUACCCAUAACAAC